AAUGGGUCAGCGACUUAUAUUCUGUAGCAAGGUUAACCGAAUAGGGGAGCCGAAGGGAAACCGAGUCUUAACUGGGCGUUAAGUUGCAGGGUAUAGACCCGAAACCCGGUGAUCUAGCCAUGGGCAGGUUGAAGGUUGGGUAACACUAACUGGAGGACCGAACCGACUAAUGUUGAAAAAUUAGCGGAUGACUUGUGGCUGGGGGUGAAAGGCCAAUCAAACCGGGAGAUAGCUGGUUCUCCCCGAAAGCUAUUUAGGUAGCGCCUCGUGAAUUCAUCUCCGGGGGUAGAGCACUGUUUCGGCAAGGGGGUCAUCCCGACUUACCAACCCGAUGCAAACUGCGAAUACCGGAGAAUGUUAUCACGGGAGACACACGGCGGGUGCUAACGUCCGUCGUGAAGAGGGAAACAACCCAGACCGCCAGCUAAGGUCCCAAAG
Molecule: ribosomal RNA, 438 nt
Filed under: Escherichia coli
Lineage: Bacteria; Pseudomonadati; Pseudomonadota; Gammaproteobacteria; Enterobacterales; Enterobacteriaceae
Description: partial 23S ribosomal RNA
Rfam family: Bacterial large subunit ribosomal RNA
Source: RNAcentral